Molecule: ribosomal RNA, 1003 nt
Filed under: Eggerthella lenta
Lineage: Bacteria; Bacillati; Actinomycetota; Coriobacteriia; Eggerthellales; Eggerthellaceae
Description: bacterial SSU rRNA
Rfam family: Bacterial small subunit ribosomal RNA
Source: RNAcentral
UUAAACGGAGAGUUUGAUCCUGGCUCAGGAUGAACGCUGGCGGCGUGCCUAACACAUGCAAGUCGAACGAUGAAACCGCCCUCGGGCGGACAUGAAGUGGCGAACGGGUGAGUAACACGUGACCAACCUGCCCCCCUCUCCGGGACAACCUUGGGAAACCGAGGCUAAUACCGGAUACUCCCUCCCCUGCUCCUGCAGGGGUCGGGAAAGCCCAGGCGGAGGGGGAUGGGGUCGCGGCCCAUUAGGUAGUAGGCGGGGUAACGGCCCACCUAGCCCGCGAUGGGUAGCCGGGUUGAGAGACCGACCGGCCACAUUGGGACUGAGAUACGGCCCAGACUCCUACGGGAGGCAGCAGUGGGGAAUUUUGCGCAAUGGGGGAAACCCUGACGCAGCAACGCCGCGUGCGGGACGACGGCCUUCGGGUUGUAAACCGCUUUCAGCAGGGAAGAAAUUCGACGGUACCUGCAGAAGAAGCUCCGGCUAACUACGUGCCAGCAGCCGCGGUAAUACGUAGGGAGCGAGCGUUAUCCGGAUUCAUUGGGCGUAAAGAGCGCGUAGGCGGCCUCUCAAGCGGGAUCUCUAAUCCGAGGGCUCAACCCCCGGCCGGAUCCCGAACUGGGAGGCUCGAGUUCGGUAGAGGCAGGCGGAAUUCCCGGUGUAGCGGUGGAAUGCGCAGAUAUCGGGAAGAACACCGAUGGCGAAGGCAGCCUGCUGGGCCGCAACUGACGCUGAGGCGCGAAAGCUAGGGGAGCGAACAGGAUUAGAUACCCUGGUAGUCCUAGCCGUAAACGAUGGAUACUAGGUGUGGGGGGCUCCGCCCUCCGUGCCGCAGCCAACGCAUUAAGUAUCCCGCCUGGGGAGUACGGCCGCAAGGCUAAAACUCAAAGGAAUUGACGGGGGCCCGCACAAGCAGCGGAGCAUGUGGCUUAAUUCGAAGCAACGCGAAGAACCUUACCAGGGCUUGACAUGGACGUGAAGCCGGGGAAACCCGGUGGCCGAGAGG